GCAGAUCUGAAUCUGAAGACAGGCUGGGGCUGGGACUUUGUCAUCACCCAGCUGGGCUUUUGCAGGGCACCAGGGGGCAGAGUACUGAGGUUUGUACCAACCCAGCACUGCCUUCCCAGGCUGAACUGCCACAGCAGUGCCUCAGAAUUUCACAGCUCAGUGAAGCAACAGCGAGAGGUUUUCUUUCCAGGUCAUGACUACAGCAGAAACCCUCAAGAGGCAUGGCUCUCAUCCUCCAAGGUUACACUCUCCUGGAUCGUCACUUGGAUUGCUCAGCUCAGGAUGGCGUGGCUCCCAGAAUACCCUUUAUAGAGAUGCCAAUGGAAACUCAAAUUAAGAGAUGGAGCUGGGACUUCGCAUGCACAGCUGUCCCUGGGCUGUGCUGUGUGCAGGACACUGUGAUCCCUGAAAUACCUAGGACCUGCUCAUUAAGCUGCUAAGAAGCAGGAAAUACACCUGUGAGACCCAAGGUGCACAAUGAACCCAACAAUUAGCCACCACCACGGGCAGGCGGCAAAUGUUCCAGCAACAAAACACCCAAGGACGGGCGGCUGCUGGUUUCUGACUUUCCUCAUGGUGCUGGGGCCCCUGAUCUGCUUUUGGACUCCUCCCAUUUCUGCACCCUGGUCAGAGCUGCUGAAAAUGGGGGAACUUGGAGGAGAGUUUCUCCUGAUCAAAACAGCUGGUUCAGGUUAUGUGUGGUGUGGGAAAACUAAUACAGAGAAAGAGGCAGGAUAUAACUAGUUUGUCAUCGAUGAUGCAUUCAAUUGCGAAAUUAUUACAAGGAAAAUUGGAUCUAUUUUUCCCCCCAGGUAUGGCUUUGGUAGAACUAUCCCAAAGGUGAAUGAGAAAGUGGAGAUUGAGGUGAAGGCAGGGGGAGAGACAUGGGAAAUUGUCAGCAUUUCAUACUUUGGGGCUGAACUCUUCACCCAUUCCACAAAUAUUUAUUCAGCAUGUUCUCUGAAUCAAUGAGCAAAAUAAUAAGACUGAUGAUAAAACCUGUUUAAAUUCUGGGGCAAGACAGUCUGGAAUAGGGGUUAUGAAUGAACUUGGGGCCACAUUACAUGGGUUGGAAAUCACAGCUUAGAAACUUACCGGUUACAUGUUAUCCAACUUAUCUGUGCCUCACUUGUCUCACCUGUUAAAUGGGAAUGAUACCAUGACGUCUUUGAUGGGAUUGUGAAAUGUUAAUGAUCAUACUUCUUACCUACAGUGUCACUGUGAACAUUAAAUUGAU
Molecule: long non-coding RNA, 1237 nt
Organism: Heterocephalus glaber (naked mole-rat)
Lineage: Eukaryota; Metazoa; Chordata; Mammalia; Rodentia; Bathyergidae
Source: Ensembl